GGGAGGGCAGAGGCCGACUGCACUCUGCCCAGCUGCCAGCUCUUCCGCUGGUAUAGCCUGCAGGACAUCAGGCUCUGGACAAGGGACAAAGGGAGGGCAGAGGCCGACUGCACUCUGCCCAGCUGCCAGCUCUUCCGCUGGUAUAGCCUGCAGGACAUCAGGCUCUGGACAAGGGACAAAGGGAGGGCAGAGGCCGACUGCACUCUGCCCAGCUGCCAGCUCUUCCACUGGUAUAGCCUGCAGGACAUCAGGCUCUGGACAAGGGACAAAGGGAGGGCAGAGGCCGACUGCACUCUGCCCAGCUG
This is a non-coding RNA of Pelobates cultripes (western spadefoot toad), 305 nucleotides long. The record is from the annotation of a GenBank genome assembly. NCBI's taxonomy places the organism in Eukaryota, Metazoa, Chordata, Amphibia, Anura, Pelobatidae.